GCCGGGUCGGAUAAACCGGAGGAAGUGGGGAUGACGUCAAAGUCCUCAUGGCCCUUAUGGGUAGGGCUUCACACGUCAUACAAUGGUCGGUACAGAGGGUUGCCAAGCCGCGAGGCGGAGCCAAUCCCACAAAGCCGAUCGUAGUCCGGAUUGUUCUCUGCAACUCGAGAGCAUGAAGUCGGAAUCGCUAGUAAUCGCAGGUCAGCAUACUGCGGUGAAUACGUUCCCGGGUCUU
This 235-nucleotide ribosomal RNA is filed under the name uncultured Thiobacillus sp. RNAcentral describes it as "partial 16S ribosomal RNA". It matches the Rfam family "Bacterial small subunit ribosomal RNA", at positions 1151 to 1382 of the family's 1533-position model. The record is from RNAcentral. Lineage: Bacteria; Pseudomonadati; Pseudomonadota; Betaproteobacteria; Nitrosomonadales; Thiobacillaceae.